RNAcentral lists this ribosomal RNA (176 nucleotides) under Shewanella oneidensis. RNAcentral describes it as "partial 16S ribosomal RNA". It matches the Rfam family "Bacterial small subunit ribosomal RNA", at positions 1 to 169 of the family's 1533-position model. The record is from RNAcentral. Lineage: Bacteria; Pseudomonadati; Pseudomonadota; Gammaproteobacteria; Alteromonadales; Shewanellaceae.
UUAAUUGAAGAGUUUGAUCAUGGCUCAGAUUGAACGCUGGCGGCAGGCCUAACACAUGCAAGUCGAGCGGCAGCACGAGGGAGUUUACUCCUGAGGUGGCGAGCGGCGGACGGGUGAGUAAUGCCUAGGGAUCUGCCCAGUCGAGGGGGAUAACAGUUGGAAACGACUGCUAAUAC